AAUUUUCGCUCGCUUUCUUUCUGGAGAGGUUGUUUUCUGUAGCUCAGCCGCUGCUCUCCGAGCUCCGACUAUCCCGUUCCGAGCUCCGUCUGUUCUAUUCCGAGCUCCGCCUCUGCUUGCUGUCGGCGGUCGCUGCCCCCCAAGAUCAAGUUCUGCCGCCUAUCCUGCAUCCGAGUUGGUACAGGAUCGAAGCAGAUAUGAUCUACACUGCGAUCGAUAACUUCUACCUGACCGACGAGCAGUUGAAGAACUCGCCUUCAAGGAAGGAUGGUAUCGAUGAGGCGACUGAAACGACACUCCGAAUCUACGGAUGCGACCUUAUUCAAGAGAGCGGCAUUUUGCUUAGACUACCUCAGGCAGUGAUGGCGACAGGCCAGGUCCUUUUUCACCGCUUUUACUGCAAAAAAUCACUCACGAAAUUUCAUGUGAAGAAAGUUGCUGCAAGUUGUGUCUGGCUUGCCUCGAAGCUUGAGGAAAGCCCCAGAAAAGCCAGGCAAGUCCUCAUCGUUUUCCACAGAAUGGAAUGUAGGAGAGAAAACUUACCCAUAGAGCAUCUAGACUUGAGUUCAAAGAAAUACAUUGAGCUGAAAACAGAGCUGAGCAGAACGGAAAGGCAUAUAUUGAAAGAAAUGGGUUUCAUCUGUCAUGUUGAGCAUCCCCACAAAUUUAUAUCAAACUACCUUGCCGCCCUUGGAAAUCCUACGGAGUUGAGACAGGAAGCUUGGAACCUGGCAAAUGAUAGCUUGCGGACUACCUUAUGUGUUCGUUUCAAGAGUGAGGUCGUGGCCUGUGGAGUCGUAUAUGCAGCUGCCCGAAGGUUCCAGGUGCCCCUGCCUGAGAACCCGCCGUGGUGGAAGGCAUUCGAUGCGGAGAAAUCUGGAAUUGUUGAAGUAUGCAAGGUGCUGGCUCAUCUUUACAGCCUGCCAAAGGCACAAUAUAUACCUGUAUGCAAGGAUGGGGAAUUCACGUUCUCUAACAAGUCAUUGCAUUCACAGUCCAAAGUAGUCACCAAGGAAAUUUUGCCAACUAGCCCCCAAGCUAAUAAUGAAUCAGGCACUACCAAGACCCCCCCCUCAGCAGCUAACGUUGAAUUAGGUGGAUCCAAGGGUGAAAGUGGGAAAUCAGAAAGUAAGGAAUCUAAGAAGAGUGACGAUCAACUGAAGAGCAUGGCAGUUGAUGGACAGACAACAGAAGAACCUCCGCCCAAGUCUAAGUCCGAAGCAAGUGGAGUAAGGAGCAAGGAGCGAGAGGACAGAGACAAAGACCGCGAUCGCGAUCGCGACCGCGACCGCGACCGUGACCGGGAAAGGGAUAGGGAGAGGGACAGAGUGAGAGUGAAGUCCCGCGAGCGUGACAGGGGCAGAGAUUCUGACAGGGAAAGGGAUCGAGAUGAUUCUGAGAGGGAUAGGGUACGAGAUAGGAGUUACCGCAUGAAGGAUAGAGCGAAGGACUCAGUGGUCUCCUGACAUGGCGUGUUGGAUUUCUCUGCUUUCAGGGCAUUCAGAUAAGUCGAGGCACCAUUCUUCACGAGAUCGGGACUAUCACGGUUCAUCAUAUUCAUCGAGGGAGAAAGACAGGCACAGACAUCAUUAAUAGACCCAAACCAGUUUCCGUUCCCUCUAUCUCCUGCAAUGCUCUCGCAUUAAGUCGAUUUAAUUGUGCAUUCGUAAUGUUUAUGUGAGGCAUAGGUUAGAGGAUUGGGUGGGGGUGAAGUUUCUUAUGGGAGUAUCGAGUAGUUUUUUGAUUGGUAGUUUUACUGAGUAGUUUACGGGAGUAUUGAGCAGUUUAUGUUUUACUUGUACGUACCAUAGUACAGUAAUCGAGUAUAACAGUCAUCAUCUAUCUUAUAUAAUAACAGUCUUUUACCGGUCUCUUACGAAAUCA
This is a non-coding RNA of Punica granatum (pomegranate), 1884 nucleotides long. Lineage: Eukaryota; Viridiplantae; Streptophyta; Magnoliopsida; Myrtales; Lythraceae. The record is from RefSeq and is a predicted model, not a curated record.